GUUUUGGUCCUAAACUUGCCAUUGUUUUUUAUCAAAUUUACACAUGCAAGCUUCAACAGCCCAGUGAGAUUGCCCAAAACCCCUAAAUAGCCAAAAGGAGCUGGCAUCAGGAUCAGAGUACUCUAGCCUAAAACGCCUUGCUUUGCCACACCCACACGGGUAUUCAGCAGUGAAUGAUAUUAAGAUAUGAGCGAAAGCUCGACUUAGUUAUGAUAUAUAUGACCGGUAAAUUUCGUGCCAGCCACCGCGGUUAUACGAAAGGCCAAAAACAAUGACCUACGGCGUAAAGAGUGAACAAGGCUUGCCUAAACUUUAAAGAAUUACUAUUUCAAAGUCGUAAAACACCUUGCUCAUAAGACCAACAACAGCAAAAUGUCUUUAAACAAAAGACCUCCUACCCUCACGAAAGCUAAGAAACAAACUAGGAUUAGAUACCCUACUAUGCUUAGCCCUUAACAUAGACAAUAAGACACAAUAUUGUCCGCCAGAGAAUUACAAGUGAAAAACUAGAAACUCCAAGGACUUGGCGGUGCUCCAUACCAUCCUAGAGGAGCCUGUCCUAUAAUCGAUAAUCCACGUUWUACCUCACCACUUCUUGCAACUCAGCCUAUAUACCGCCGUCGUCAGCCUACCUUGUGAAAGUAGUAAAGUAGGCAAAAUAGUCAACAACUAAAACGUCAGGUCAAGGUGUAGCAAAUGAAGUGGAAGAGAUGGGCUACACUCUCUAUUAUAGAGAAUACGGAGGGCCUAAUGAAACUAGACCUAAAGGUGGAUUUAGCAGUAAUAUAAAAAAGAUAGUUUAUCUGAAAUUUGCUCUGGAGCGCGCACACACCGCCCGUCACCCUC
RNAcentral lists this non-coding RNA (846 nucleotides) under Trachylepis megalura (Long-tailed skink). Lineage: Eukaryota; Metazoa; Chordata; Lepidosauria; Squamata; Scincidae. The record is from RNAcentral.